GACGAACCGUGCGAACGUUGUUCGGAAUCACUGGGCUUAAAGGGCGCGUAGGCGGGCUGACAAGUCUGGGGUGAAAUCCCCCGGCUCAACCGGGGAACGGGCGCCGAUACGACCGCCCUGGAGGGACGUAGGGGGACCUGGAACUUCCGGUGGAGCGGUGAAAUGCGUUGAGAUCGGAAGGAACGCCCGUGGCGAAAGCGAGGUCCUGGACGUUUUCUGACGCUGAGACGCGAAAGCCAGGGGAGCGAACGGG
RNAcentral lists this ribosomal RNA (253 nucleotides) under uncultured bacterium. Its description in RNAcentral is "partial 16S ribosomal RNA". It matches the Rfam family "Bacterial small subunit ribosomal RNA", at positions 524 to 776 of the family's 1533-position model. The record is from RNAcentral.